RNAcentral lists this ribosomal RNA (245 nucleotides) under uncultured Terrimonas sp. RNAcentral's name for it is "partial 16S ribosomal RNA". It matches the Rfam family "Bacterial small subunit ribosomal RNA", at positions 524 to 768 of the family's 1533-position model. The record is from RNAcentral. Lineage: Bacteria; Pseudomonadati; Bacteroidota; Chitinophagia; Chitinophagales; Chitinophagaceae.
UACGGAGGGUGCAAGCGUUAUCCGGAUUCACUGGGUUUAAAGGGUGCGUAGGUGGGCAGGUAAGUCAGUGGUGAAAUCUUUGGGCUUAACCCGAAAACUGCCAUUGAUACUAUUUGUCUUGAAUAUUGUGGAGGUCAGCGGAAUAUGUCAUGUAGCGGUGAAAUGCUUAGAUAUGACAUAGAACACCAAUUGCGAAGGCAGCUGGCUACGCAUAUAUUGACACUGAUGCACGAAAGCGUGGGGAU